GUAUUUAAGAUUUUUUCCAUAUUAAGCUUAUAUUUCUUUCACAUAAUAUAUAUAUAUGUCAUAAAAAUUACCAUCAAAUCAGUUUUACUUAUUUAUUAUUUUGUUUUUAAUGAAAAUACACUUUUUAAAUAAUUUAAUUUAAAAUAAAAUUAUAUAUAUUAACUUGUUGUAUUCUAACAAUUUGAUUGACUUAAUUAAUUUUCUUUGGUGGAUAACUUAAAAAGUUUUUAUAUGAAUCAGAGAAAACAAACUUAUGUUGUUA
This 262-nucleotide long non-coding RNA is filed under the name Brassica rapa (field mustard). RNAcentral describes it as "long non-coding RNA (BRAP_LNC005282)". Lineage: Eukaryota; Viridiplantae; Streptophyta; Magnoliopsida; Brassicales; Brassicaceae. The record is from RNAcentral.